CUUCUCCACUCUCCAGACCUGAGAACACAUUCCAAUCCAGAAUUUAUCCUUAAAACCUACUCCAAUUCGGAAUUAAUCUCCAAAAACCACUACUCUACUAGUCUACCACUGCAAAAGUUCCGACGAAAUCCAGAGGACUAGAGGUUGGGCUGCUUCGGCACGUUCGCACACAGAGAGUUCGCAUUUCACAAACUGCUAAGGUCACGCAAAUUCGGAGGUUGGUUUCCAUUUAUUUUAGGAAACUGAAAACCCUUGAUUCCUUGAAAAUCUUUCCAUGACUUUCGUUUUUAUUGGGGUUUUAAGAUUAAAAUACCCAAAAUCUUCUGCACAUAAAUAAAGCAAAAAAAAAAUCUUAACAAGAAUUAAACAACUAAUGCCAUCACCUCGAAAUCUCUAAGUUUCACUUUCUCAAUUCCAAAAUCAUGAGCAUAUUACAGAUUUACAUAUUGCAGUCGCCAGUCGGUGUCGAUAUACCUGUGUUUGUGUAUGUUGUGAUAAAAGUUAAAAUUUAAAAAGUACCUGACCGAGAAUCAGAAAUGGGUUUUUGCUUAAUUUGAAGAAGGGUAUCUUGAUCUGCAAUUUUGCAACAAAUUUGAAGUUUAAAAAAAAAAAAAAAGUAUUGAUGAGUGAUGAAUGCAAGCUUGGACUCCGCCACUACGGAUUGCAGAAACUAGACUUCAGUCUUUAGUCUUCUAGUUGCAAUAAUUUUAGGAAUUUUUCAAUAAGUAGUAUUAUAUUAAGUAGUAGGGAUAAGGGAUGAUAUGUGGGGUCCAGGGUAUUAAGAGAUUUUGGGAAAAACAUAAUAUACAUUUUUGUGUUUUAGGCCUGAAAUGGUGAUAAACGUGUCCACAGAAAAGUGUAAUUUCAUAUUAACAACUCCUCCAAAGAAUAUAAAAAUUAUGACGACAUAUGAUAAGAAUGUGAUAUUAUUUCACAUUUUUUCGUUUCGUAAAAUUGUUAGCCAAACAAAAACUGAUUAAAAUUUUCCAUUCAAUUUGAAUAAAUUGAAGCUUAUUUCACAUUUUUCCAUUUUGUAAAAUUAUUGCAUAUUGAGAUUAAGAUCCAAAAAUGCAUUUUCUUUUUUAAAAGCUUAUUCUCUUCUUUUUUUGGGUGUGGGAUCUAUUCUCUCUUUGUUUUGUUCAUUUCUUGGUAGCAGCGGAAUUGCUUGAUAAUCAGACUCUGCGUUUUCGACCGCAACCUAGAACAGCCGCAUUGUCUAUUUCAAUCACCACGCGACCACCACUACCACCAAUUUCUGAAUCCUUUCAUUUUGGGGACUCAUCAAUCA
RNAcentral lists this long non-coding RNA (1288 nucleotides) under Olea europaea (common olive). RNAcentral's name for it is "long non-coding RNA (OEUR_LNC007355)". Lineage: Eukaryota; Viridiplantae; Streptophyta; Magnoliopsida; Lamiales; Oleaceae. The record is from RNAcentral.